AAGCGGAGGAAAAGAAACCAACAGGGAUUGCCUCAGUAACGGCGAGUGAAGCGGCAAAAGCUCAAAUUUUAAAGCUGGCAUCUUCGGUGUCCGCGUUGUAAUUUUGUGAGGCAUCUCCGGGUAGGGCGCCGGCCUAAGUUCCUUGGAACAGGACGUCACAGAGGGUGAGAAUCCCGUGCUUGGCUGGCUGUCCCCGUCCAUGUGAGGUGUCUUCGACGAGUCGAGUUGUUUGGGAAUGCAGCUCAAAAUGGGUGGUAAAUUUCAUCUAAAGCUAAAUAUUGGUGGGAGACCGAUAGCGCACAAGUAGAGUGAUCGAAAGAUGAAAAGCACUUUGAAAAUAGAGUUAAAAAGUACGUGAAAUUGUUGAAAGGGAAGCGCUUGAGACCAGACUUCGGUAGGGGGUGAUCAGCCGUCCUUCUGGGCGGUGCACUUGCCCCCCUCCGGGCCAGCAUCGGUUGAGGCGGCGGGAUAAAGGUCCCGGGAAUGUGACUCCUCUCAAGGGAGUGUUUAUAGCCCGGGUGAAUGCCGCCAGCCCCGACCGAGGACCGCGCCCGCAAGGGUUAGGAUGCUUGGCAUAAUGGUCUUCAGCGACCCGUCUUGAA
RNAcentral lists this ribosomal RNA (602 nucleotides) under Morchella dunalii. RNAcentral describes it as "partial large subunit ribosomal RNA". It matches the Rfam family "Eukaryotic large subunit ribosomal RNA", at positions 48 to 658 of the family's 3401-position model. The record is from RNAcentral. Lineage: Eukaryota; Fungi; Ascomycota; Pezizomycetes; Pezizales; Morchellaceae.